UACGUAGGUCCCGAGCGUUGUCCGGAUUUACUGGGUGUAAAGGGAGCGCAGGCGGCCUGGCAAGCCUGAUGUGAAAUACCGGGGCCCAACCCCGGGGCUGCAUUGGGAACUGCCAGGCUGGAGUGCCGGAGAGGCAGGCGGAAUUCCUAGUGUAGCGGUGAAAUGCGUAGAUAUUAGGAGGAACACCAGUGGCGAAGGCGGCCUGCUGGACGGUGACUGACGCUGAGGCUCGAAAGCGUGGGGAGCAAACAGG
This 253-nucleotide ribosomal RNA is filed under the name uncultured bacterium. RNAcentral's name for it is "partial 16S ribosomal RNA". It matches the Rfam family "Bacterial small subunit ribosomal RNA", at positions 524 to 776 of the family's 1533-position model. The record is from RNAcentral.